Molecule: long non-coding RNA, 3997 nt
Organism: Macaca fascicularis (crab-eating macaque)
Lineage: Eukaryota; Metazoa; Chordata; Mammalia; Primates; Cercopithecidae
Source: Ensembl
AUGACCAGAUUUCCGAUGUCCCCACCUUCCACAUACCCUGGCACUGGCGUUGUCCAGCUGUGGUCAGUUCAUCUAAAGGGAGGGUUUUCAAUGCUCACGUUUCCUCCUGUUGCGGGCUCCAGCUUUACCUGCCUCUUAUUGUUCUCAUUCGCCUGGGGAAUGCCGAGUGUAACAAUGGCCCCAGGAAUUCAAGCCAAGGAGCCCAAGAGGGGCCAGAUGGUGCCUUCGUUCCUGGUGCCAGAACUGCGGCGUUUCUCUGAAUAAAGUUGCUGGGGCCUGGCUUAGGCCAUGGUGGUGGUCAGACCCCACAGUUGGGGACUGCAGGGGAAGGAGAAGAAGUGUCCCAAGCAUGGUAAGCAGGCUGGAGCCCAGGGAUGUAGCUUGUGUUUAAACCUGGCAGUGCAUUUAGUCAAAGAAAAGGGCUCAGAUCACAUUAUUCUGGCCACUUAUCCUGGCCCCACAGAGCAAGGCCCUGGGAGGAAAAAGAGGAAGCCCAGUUCUCAGGACUGAGGCUUUAACAUUGCAGGUAUGCAACCUCCUCUACUCCUAGAAGCCUCAUGAGGGAGCCUCUGGAGGGGACAGUUGGGUUAGUCCACGGGAAGGACAGGAGUGGGGCAACUUGGGGACAAGGUCACUGUAAGGGAGGCAGGAGGUGGGAAGUAGGCUCAGGGGUGGGAGAGGACUGAGGAGAGCCAGCUGCCGGGGGCCGAGGCCUUGGUCAGCUCAGCAAGCUGGUCCCAUGGGGACUCUGAGAGGACGGGCUGCUCCCUAAGGAAACUCGAGUUUUGGGUCAGUCUGAUCCUACUAGACGUCAUACGAGACACCAUGCAAGUGACCUCUGCUCUGACUUCUGCCUGAGCACUUGGCUCACCAUUCUCUCCUCACUUUUCCCCACCACCCUACUGGAAGAAAGAGAGAACAGCCAGCCUCCAGGGCCCUUCCUUUCCCUGGCCACCUUCCUUCAGACACAGCAUGCUUGGAUUCAGAGUAAGAAAGAAAAUGAGAACUGAAAACUAGACCUUGUUUCAUUCAAGUGCAUUGUUUUGAAUCCUGUUUUUUUUCUGUUCCUUUUUGGCACCAUGGGCAUUCCUGCAGAGUGGAGUUUGAAUACAGGCACAUUCUUCAGAGGGGAAAAAUCCCAUUGCCUAGCCCAAGGCUGAGCUCCUGGGCCAACACACACAGGGCUCUGGGUUGUUUGCUGAUUCAGCAGGUGCCGCCUGCCCUGGGCCACCUUAAAGAGUCACAGGAUGUCCACUGAGCAAGCUCUUGGGGGCCAGAUAAGUGAUUGUGCUGGGCCCUGGGCCUCUUGGGGUUGGGAAUCUUGCAGUUGUCAUUGGUGAUGGUCAGGUGGGCCUGAGCAUGGUGUCAAGAUGCUGGCGCCACGCAAGGGUGGAGCCUACCUCUAGAGAUGCCCACUGUCAGAGUCCAUUGUUGAUUGUUAUUUCCCUGGCAUUUUUCAGAAUAAGAGAGGUCACAUCAGGGGAAGGUUGUUUUAAGCUGUCUUAACAGAAAAGACCUUGUCUAUUUCAUUCCCUGCUGAAUCUCCACUGCCCUUAACUGUGUGUGCCUCAUGGAGGACACUCAAGUAUCUGUCGAUAUUCGUUGAUCAAGUUGAAAACUCUAUUUUUAAAAGAAAAUAAACCCAAAAAGAAGGGGCGAGUCACUACUCAGGCAGUUGGUGGUUCAAUAAUCUAUUCUGGAAAUUCUUUCCCUAUAGACUCAGUCACUCAAUUCCAUUGAACCCCUACUGUGGGUUUCACUUUGUAAUAGAAACAGAAAGAUGUAUUAGACUCAGACAGUCACAUCUAGAUGAGAAAAUGAACCAAAACCCAUGUUCUGGCUGACUUACCUCUCCUGAAGUUCAAAUCAGAAUUGCAUGCAAACAGACUGCAUGCAGUUCUGUUUUGAACUUCAGUUGCAGCCCCAUUUAAUACUUGUAUGUCAUAGCUGAACAGAAUAUAGUGUAAUAUCUUAAGUGCCAGAAAGCCCUGGGUUCAAACACUGGCUCUGCCAGUUUCUAACAGUGUGACCUUAGGCAAGUUAUUUUAAUGCUCUCAGCCCCAGUUUUCGUCUAUGCCAUAGCACCUAUCUCAAGGUGUGGUUUUGAGGAGGAAGUGAAAUGAUGUGCAUUAUUUCAGAUUUUAUUUAUCAUGCACAUGGCAUUCCUAGGAGAGCACCUGGAGCAGAGCAGGAGUUUAAUAGAUUUUAGCUAUUAUUGCUGGGUAUAUAUUUUUUGUCUUCUCUGCCUGGGAUGCUCCCUGUACCGCAGGCUAACUUUCCAUUCAUCCUCUAAGGCUCAGUUCAGCCAGCACAAUACUUCCUCAAGAUGAAACGCCUUUGGUCAUUUGCCCUCUCCCUUUCCUGGGAGGCACACUCAGGAGUGCCUCUUCUGUGCCGCCACAGUGACUUGUGCACAUCUGUCCGGAGAGUCACUGCCUGGUGCUGUUAUUUUCAGUUCCAAUGUCGGCCUCUUAGACCUAGAGCCUCUUUAAGUCAAGGUACCAGUUUACUUACCCCCUACCCUCUUGGCUUCAUGAUUUUUUAUUGUGUUAGGAGUGCAAGUGUUUGCUAAAUAAAUGAAGGGACAAGUAAUAUUCCACCAUUUCAGGAAUAAAGUAUUGUGACAGAUAAUCAGGGCUUCCCUGAGGUCGGAAGAAAAGGACUAAAGCUUGUGGUAUAUGUUCCAAGAGGAAGAAAGAGCAAUUUGACAAGAAGUAAAAGCCCAUAUAUGGCAUUCAUUAUAGUCUCAAUGUUGGUCUCCACUCAGUAUUCAUAUAUUGAAAUCCCAACCCCCGAGCUGAUGAUAUUAGGAGGGGGACCUUUGGGAGGUGAUUAGGCAGAGCCCUCAUAAAUAGGAUUAGUGCUCUAAUAAAAGCGACCCGAGAGAGCUAACUCACUCCUUCCAUCCUGUGAAGACACAGAGAAAAGGCACCAUGUAUGAAUGAGAAAGUGGGCCCUCACCAGACAGUUAAUCUGCUGGCGCCUUGAUCUCGGACUUCUCAGCUUAUGGAACUAUGAGAAAUAAAUCUGUGUCAUUUAUAAGCUACACAGCUUGUGGUAUUUUAUUAUGGUAGCCCCAAUGGUGUAAGGCAACAUUGUUAUAUUAUCUAUAAUUUAUUUCGAAGCAGCUCUAUUUAAAACAUAUGUUGAUGAUGUGUAUUUCAGUUUGCGUAAUGCCCUAGGCACAGUUAUUUAGUAUUUGAAGUUUCCCAAUAUUUCAGAAGUAUUAGGGGUAGUUCUGUUAUGUUCCGGACUGUGAUACUAGCACUUCAGUUACGUUUAUUGCCAGUGGCACCAGAAGUUUUGUUAAUUAACAUACUGGGUGUUAGAUUUCAUUUUUGUAUUGGUGAAAUGAGUGGUGUUUGUUGGGUUGGUUAGGAAGGCUGCACAGGGAUCCUUGCCUUUGUGCAAUUAGGGCAUGAGCAGCUCACACCCUCUGGAGUGUCCCCCAAGUCUUAGAAUUCUGCUAGAUUCUGUGUACAUUUGCUUAAGGAGAAUCCUGUCAUUUGACCAAUUAACUGAAUCCUGCUGCUAGCUCCUUGUCACAUCUGCUUGGAAUGAAAGGACAGAGAGCUGGGAUAAACCAGGUGGUCCUAUGUUUGCUGAGCUUACAAACCAGGUGGUCUGAUGUUUUACCUCCUGCUGGCUGAUAGGUCUCUCUGUGUGUCAGAAUUUGGUCUGAGUCUUGCUCUCAUUAUAACAGACCACCUGGGUGAGACGGUCCCUUACAAACAGUGACCUUGUGCCCAAGUGGCCUUCACCCCUCUAACCACUGAUGGCUGCCAGAAGGCUAAGAACCUAAUACUGUAAUCUUGAAUGACCUAUGGUGCAGGUCAACUUGAAGGAAUAUAUUUGGAGGGCAGUGAUAGCAAUGAAUAUGGAAAAGCAAGAAGGUACGCGAGGGACGAAAACAAGACCAGAAUCAGCAGGAUUUGGGGGCUGAUUCAAUAUGGCAGCAGGCAAGACAGUAUGUCAAAAACAAGACAUAUGUGUGUAU